GAUUAAACACAUCAUAUUAUAGAGAAUUCACUUUUCUCCAAUUCUUGAUAUUAUUCCUCUCUUUCCCAUAGCUUUUGAAGCCAUGAAUCACAAAACACUCUCUUUAUUAUUCAUAGUCGUUUUUGUCUUAAUUUGUUAUCUGUCCUCAACAACGGCCUCUCGAAGAUUAUUAUCAGGUCAUGGAGGCAGCAAAAUGGAAAUGCGACCCCAUAAAUCACCUCCAGAUGCUGGAACUAUUGAAGCUAUCGUUCAUUACAAAAACUAGGGAUAUGCAAAGAGGACUUGUAUGGCAAUUGUAUAAAACCAUCCAGUACUAUCCCAGAGACACUGCAGUUUUGCUGCUAGAUGUAAUCACACCCCACCCUAAAUUAAAUCCAUAACUCGUUUUAAUUACUGAUUCACAUUAAACGGUAAAGAAUAAACUUCAUUGUUUUUCCAAGCAAGGAAAAGAGUUUUGAAGAUUUAAAUAUAUAAUUAUGAUGUUUAUCGGCUUUAGUUUGUACUUGAUGUGUCCUAUUUCUAUAUAUUUAAUUAAAUUUUCAUGAAAAUAUGUUCAAAAGGAUAAACUUUAAGGUCAAUUAGUUUUUUCUUUUAACCUUUAAGGUU
Molecule: long non-coding RNA, 606 nt
Organism: Lycium ferocissimum
Lineage: Eukaryota; Viridiplantae; Streptophyta; Magnoliopsida; Solanales; Solanaceae
Exons: 3
Source: RefSeq, a predicted model, not a curated record